AUACGUAGGGGGCGAGCGUUGUCCGGAAUGAUUGGGCGUAAAGGGCGCGUAGGCGGCCCGGUAAGUCUGGAGUGAAAGUCCUGCUUUUAAGGUGGGAAUUGCUUUGGAUACUGUCGGGCUUGAGUGCAGGAGAGGGAAGUGGAAUUCCCAGUGUAGCGGUGAAAUGCGUAGAGAUUGGGAGGAACACCAGUGGCGAAGGCGACUUACUGGACUGUAACUGACGCUGAGGCGCGAAAGUGUGGGGAGCAAACAGGAUUAGAUACCCGGGUAGUCCACACUGUAAACGAUGAAUGCUAGGUGUAGGGGGUAUCGACCCCUUCUGUGCCGCAGUAAACACAAUAAGCAUUCCGCCUGGGGAGUACGGCCGCAAGGUUGAAACUCAAAUGAAUUGACGGGG
Molecule: ribosomal RNA, 397 nt
Filed under: uncultured bacterium
Lineage: Bacteria
Description: partial 16S ribosomal RNA
Rfam family: Bacterial small subunit ribosomal RNA
Source: RNAcentral